Molecule: ribosomal RNA, 420 nt
Filed under: uncultured bacterium
Lineage: Bacteria
Description: bacterial SSU rRNA
Rfam family: Bacterial small subunit ribosomal RNA
Source: RNAcentral
AAGGAAUAUUGGUCAAUGGACGAAAGUCUGAACCAGCCAUGCCGCGUGAAGGAUGAAGGCCCUCUGGGUUGUAAACUUCUUUUAUCUGGGACGAAAAAAGGGGAUUCUUCCUCACUUGACGGUACCAGAGGAAUAAGCACCGGCUAACUCCGUGCCAGCAGCCGCGGUAAUACGGAGGGUGUAAGCGUUAUCCGGAUUCACUGGGUUUAAAGGGUGCGUAGGUGGGUCUGUAAGUCAGUGGUGAAAUCUCCAAGCUUAACUUGGAAACUGCCAUUGAUACUAUAGGUCUUGAAUUAUCUGGAGGUGAGCGGAAUAUGUCAUGUAGCGGUGAAAUGCUUAGAUAUGACAUAGAACACCCAUUGCGAAGGCAGCUCACUACGGAUAUAUUGACACUGAGGCACGAAAGCGUGGGGAUCAAAC